UACGAAGGGGGCUAGCGUUGCUCGGAGUUACUGGGCGUAAAGCGCACGUAGGCGGCUUCUUAAGUCGGUGGUGAAAUCCUGGAGCUCAACUCCAGAACUGCCUUCGAUACUGAGAAGCUCGAGUCCGGGAGAGGUGAGUGGAACUGCGAGUGUAGAGGUGAAAUUCGUAGAUAUUCGCAAGAACACCAGUGGCGAAGGCGGCUCACUGGCCCGGUACUGACGCUGAGGUGCGAAAGCGUGGGGAGCAAACAGG
Molecule: ribosomal RNA, 253 nt
Filed under: uncultured bacterium
Lineage: Bacteria
Description: partial 16S ribosomal RNA
Rfam family: Bacterial small subunit ribosomal RNA
Source: RNAcentral